CCGAGGAAAAGAAAUCAACCGAGAUUCCCCCAGUAGCGGCGAGCGAACGGGGAGGAGCCCAGAGCCUGAAUCAGCAUGUGUGUUAGUGGAAGCGUCUGGAAAGGCGCGCGAUACAGGGUGACAGCCCCGUACACAAAAGCGCAUGUGCUGUGAGCUCGAUGAGUAGGGCGGGACACGUGGUAUCCUGUCUGAAUAUGGGGGGACCAUCCUCCAAGGCUAAAUACUCCUGACUGACCGAUAGUGAACCAGUACCGUGAGGGAAAGGCGAAAAGAACCCCGGCGAGGGGAGUGAAAAAGAACCUGAAACCGUGU
Molecule: ribosomal RNA, 312 nt
Filed under: Salmonella enterica
Lineage: Bacteria; Pseudomonadati; Pseudomonadota; Gammaproteobacteria; Enterobacterales; Enterobacteriaceae
Also listed under: 2 other names
Description: partial 23S ribosomal RNA
Rfam family: Bacterial large subunit ribosomal RNA
Source: RNAcentral